UCUCCUAGGCCAUACUCGUAUCCACAGACCCCAGAGCGAGGCCACAGGAAGCGAGGCAUCUUCCUCUCCAACAUCACCGUGGUGGCCACCACCUGAAAUGAGACUCUGCCAACAGCACCAUGUGGUAUCCUGAUGACCUCUGGACUCUGCCAGCAGGAAGUCCAGCAUCAGAUGAAGUUUUCAACCUGAUACUAAUAAACCUCCUCUCUUUACGAAGUUUUCAAGCCAUAGGAAUUUCAUGAAGUAAUAAAAACGGAUCAAUAUGGGUGAUUCCUAACGCAAACUCACCUAAGUUGCGGGGCUAAAAAUGCACUGAGAAAACACUCCACUCUACCCUCUUUAAAAAUAAACACCUUUCAACAAUGACUGGAAUUUUUGACAUUGCCUAGAAUUUUGGGAGUUGUCAACAACAAAAUCUCCUGCAGACUCAUGCUUCAUAGAAAACCGGCCUCAUUAGAUCAUUCACUCUUACCAGAUGGCUGAACUCAUUGCCUUGAAGAAAAUGC
Long non-coding RNA from Ochotona curzoniae (black-lipped pika), 506 nucleotides. RefSeq lists it as uncharacterized. Lineage: Eukaryota; Metazoa; Chordata; Mammalia; Lagomorpha; Ochotonidae. The transcript has 3 exons. The record is from RefSeq and is a predicted model, not a curated record.